Molecule: long non-coding RNA, 544 nt
Organism: Hibiscus syriacus
Lineage: Eukaryota; Viridiplantae; Streptophyta; Magnoliopsida; Malvales; Malvaceae
Exons: 6
Source: RefSeq, a predicted model, not a curated record
UCUAUCUUUGAUCUCACACAAGUCUCUUUCCGUUUUCCGCCUCCCGAGAUUAAGCCCUUACCGUUAUUCCAAGCUUCAGUAUGAACACCGAAGCAGUGGUCGAGUUUUUGGGCAACGUUCCGUUGCUCCAGAGAUUACCGAGUUCUUCGUUCAAGAGAAUAGCUGAACUCGUGAAUUUUAAGCACUUUGAGAAAGGAGAUUAUGUCGUUCGGGAAGGAGAAGUUGGAGACGGAAUAUAUUUCGUGUGGGAAGGAGGGGCUGAAGUAUCUGUAUCAGUCCAUGUUGAAGAAGAAAAUCGACUCGAGUUUCAGUUCCAACAAUACGAUUACUUUGGCCAUGGUUAGCUUUUUGAUCGUUCCUUCAUGUGAUGUUUUUACAAUUUUUGAGUAUCGGACUGUUUCAGUAUGUAGAGUUUUUGUCUGUGCAAUGUGCAUUCAUUUAAUCCCACAUUGGUUCUCAUGGCAGAUGUAAUCGCUUUAACUAAAAUGACCUGCCUGUUUCUACCUCAUGAACAUUGCACUUUGCUUCAGUCAAAAUCUAUCUG